GCACCUUGUGUAUGUUUGUUCAGUUGGUGAACAAAGGCAUGAAACGGGCAGAAAUCCUCUUCCGCAACCCAGAACUCAUUGUUCGGCAUGAGUUUUGACACACACAAGAAGUAUG
Molecule: small nucleolar RNA, 115 nt
Filed under: Nannospalax galili (Upper Galilee mountains blind mole rat)
Lineage: Eukaryota; Metazoa; Chordata; Mammalia; Rodentia; Spalacidae
Description: Small nucleolar RNA SNORA40 (ENSNGAG00000008615.1)
Rfam family: Small nucleolar RNA SNORA40
About the family: The snoRNA ACA 40 belongs to the H/ACA family of snoRNAs and guides the pseudouridylation of 28S rRNA subunit at position U4565.
Source: Rfam by way of RNAcentral